This 1162-nucleotide ribosomal RNA is filed under the name Vibrio parahaemolyticus. RNAcentral describes it as "partial 23S ribosomal RNA". It matches the Rfam family "Bacterial large subunit ribosomal RNA", at positions 1778 to 2925 of the family's 2925-position model. The record is from RNAcentral. Lineage: Bacteria; Pseudomonadati; Pseudomonadota; Gammaproteobacteria; Vibrionales; Vibrionaceae.
CGCAGAUACCAGGUGGCUGCAACUGUUUAUUAAAAACACAGCACUGUGCAAAAUCGUAAGAUGACGUAUACGGUGUGACGCCUGCCCGGUGCCGGAAGGUUAAUUGAUGGGGUUAGACUUCGGUCGAAGCUCUUGAUCGAAGCCCCGGUAAACGGCGGCCGUAACUAUAACGGUCCUAAGGUAGCGAAAUUCCUUGUCGGGUAAGUUCCGACCUGCACGAAUGGCGUAAUGAUGGCCACGCUGUCUCCACCCGAGACUCAGUGAAAUUGAAAUCGCUGUGAAGAUGCAGUGUACCCGCGGCUAGACGGAAAGACCCCGUGAACCUUUACUACAGCUUGGCACUGAACAUUGACCCUACAUGUGUAGGAUAGGUGGGAGGCUUUGAAGCACGUACGCCAGUAUGUGUGGAGCCGUCCUUGAAAUACCACCCUUGUAGUGUUGAUGUUCUAACGUCGACCCCUUAUCGGGGUUGCGGACAGUGCCUGGUGGGUAGUUUGACUGGGGCGGUCUCCUCCCAAAGAGUAACGGAGGAGCACGAAGGUGGGCUAAUCACGGUUGGACAUCGUGAGGUUAGUGCAAUGGCAUAAGCCCGCUUGACUGCGAGAAUGACAAUUCGAGCAGGUGCGAAAGCAGGUCAUAGUGAUCCGGUGGUUCUGAAUGGAAGGGCCAUCGCUCAACGGAUAAAAGGUACUCCGGGGAUAACAGGCUGAUACCGCCCAAGAGUUCAUAUCGACGGCGGUGUUUGGCACCUCGAUGUCGGCUCAUCACAUCCUGGGGCUGAAGUCGGUCCCAAGGGUAUGGCUGUUCGCCAUUUAAAGUGGUACGCGAGCUGGGUUUAGAACGUCGUGAGACAGUUCGGUCCCUAUCUGCCGUGGGCGUUGGAAGAUUGAAGGGGGCUGCUCCUAGUACGAGAGGACCGGAGUGGACGAACCUCUGGUGUUCGGGUUGUGUCGCCAGACGCAUUGCCCGGUAGCUAAGUUCGGAAUCGAUAACCGCUGAAAGCAUCUAAGCGGGAAGCGAGCCCUGAGAUGAGUCUUCCCUGAUACUUUAAGUAUCCUAAAGGGUUGUCGGAGACUACGACGUUGAUAGGUCAGGUGUGUAAGUGCUGUGAGGCAUUGAGCUAACUGAUACUAAUUGCCCGUGAGGCUUAACCAUACAACAC